Molecule: long non-coding RNA, 760 nt
Organism: Xenopus laevis (African clawed frog)
Lineage: Eukaryota; Metazoa; Chordata; Amphibia; Anura; Pipidae
Exons: 2
Source: RefSeq, a predicted model, not a curated record
UCACCACAAGCUCAAAUACUACAGGAUAUCCUAAUGUGAUUUUAUGGGAGUAAAGAUGAAAACGAACACAGCUGUAAAACUGCUCACAGUUGAAAGCCAUUACAUUUCCAACAAGUCAUUAACACCCCGCUCCCAGGAAUUAGCUUUGUGGGUGGUUACUGGGUGAACAUUAGUUACAACUCCCAGUUCAUAGUUUGACUUCACUGCCAUGGAAGCCGACAUCAAAGGAAAGAAGAUAAGCAAAUCAUAUUGUGAAGUUGGCACUUGACUACUGUGUAUACUCAGCUGGAGCUGCUGCCGGAUGCACAUUCAUGGCACAUCACUCUGCUAAGGGCUUUGUUUUGCCCCCUUCUCUGACAAGCAACAUCUCCCGACAGUAAAAACAUCACAUUUGUUAUUGACUUGCAUGUUACACAAUAUGGAAGGCGACAAAAGGCGUAUAUUUAUAAAUGGAAAAGCAAAAUGUGUUGCGUUGCCAUGUGGCUCCCCGUUGUGAUGAAUAGCAUGUCGACAAGAUGAAACCUGAGACAACAAGGAAAAACUGAAACACAUUUGAUUACAACUAUUCAUAAAUACACACCCCGACUGCUCCACUGGAAUCUGCAUGAGCGGAAAGGUUUAACAUGAUGGAUGUGAGAUUUUUAUUUCAAGCUCAACAAUUAUGAUCCUUUGUUGUUCUUCUAUGGAAAAACAACUGUGUGAUAUGUGAGUAAAAUCACCAAACCUCAAUAAAUGAUGCGCGAUUUGUUUUUUUCUGUGA